AGAGUUUGAUCAUGGCUCAGAACGAACGUUAGCGGCGNNNUUAACACAUGCAAGUCGAACGAGAAAGGGUGCCUUCGGGUACCCCGGUAAAGUGGCGCACGGGUGAGUAACACGUAGGUAAUCUACCCUUGGGUGGAGGAUAACGUUCCGAAAGGAGCGCUAAUACUGCAUAAGACCACAUCCUGAAAUGGACGGGGUCAAAGCCGGCCUCUAUAUAUAAGCUGGCGCCAGAGGAUGAGCCUGCGGCCCAUCAGGUUGUUGGUAGGGUAACGGCCUACCAAGCCGACGACGGGUAGCUGGUCUGAGAGGAUGAUCAGCCACACUGGAACUGAGACACGGUCCAGACUCCUACGGGAGGCAGCAGUGGGGAAUCUUGCGCAAUGGGCGAAAGCCUGACGCAGCGACGCCGCGUGAGUGAUGAAGGCCCUAGGGUUGUAAAGCUCUGUGGAGAGGGACGAAUAAGCAAUGGUCAAUACCCAUUGUGAUGACGGUACCUCCUUAGCAAGCACCGGCUAACUCUGUGCCAGCAGCCGCGGUAAGACAGAGGGUGCAAACGUUGUUCGGAAUUACUGGGCGUAAAGCGCGUGUAGGCUGUCCCGCAAGUCGGGUGUGAAAUCCCAGGGCUCAACCCUGGAAGUGCACUCGAAACUGCGAGACUUGAAUCUCGGAGAGGGUAGCGGAAUUCUGGGUGUAGAGGUGAAAUUCGUAGAUAUCCAGAGGAACACCGGUGGCGAAGGCGGCUACCUGGACGAGUAUUGACGCUGAGACGCGAAAGCGUGGGGAGCAAACAGGAUUAGAUACCCUAGUAGUCC
Molecule: ribosomal RNA, 812 nt
Filed under: uncultured bacterium
Lineage: Bacteria
Description: bacterial SSU rRNA
Rfam family: Bacterial small subunit ribosomal RNA
Source: RNAcentral